GCAAGCGUUGUUCGGAUUUACUGGGCGUAAAGGGCGCGUAGGCGGCCUCUGCAAGUCGACUGUGAAAUCUCCGGGCUUAACCCGGAAAGGUCAGCCGAAACUGCGGGGCUAGAGUGCAGAAGGGGCAACUGGAAUUCUCGGUGUAGCGGUGAAAUGCGUAGAUAUCGAGAGGAACACCUGCGGCGAAGGCGGGUUGCUGGGCUGACACUGACGCUGAAGCGCGAAAGCUAGGGGAGCGAACGGG
RNAcentral lists this ribosomal RNA (244 nucleotides) under uncultured bacterium. RNAcentral's name for it is "partial 16S ribosomal RNA". It matches the Rfam family "Bacterial small subunit ribosomal RNA", at positions 534 to 776 of the family's 1533-position model. The record is from RNAcentral.